This 440-nucleotide ribosomal RNA is filed under the name uncultured bacterium. RNAcentral's name for it is "partial 16S ribosomal RNA". It matches the Rfam family "Bacterial small subunit ribosomal RNA", at positions 338 to 795 of the family's 1533-position model. The record is from RNAcentral.
CCUACGGGUGACAGCAGUAGGGAAUAUUGCUCAAUGGGGGAAACUCUGAAGCAGCCACGCCGCGUGGAGGAUGAAGGUUUUCGGAUUGUAAACUCCUUUUGUUAGAGAAGAUAAUGACGGUAUCUAACGAAUAAGCACCGGCUAACUCCGUGCCAGCAGCCGCGGUAAUACGGAGGGUGCAAGCGUUACUCGGAAUCACUGGGCGUAAAGAGCGCGUAGGCGGGAUAGCAAGUCAGAUGUGAAAUCCUAUGGCUUAACCAUAGAACUGCAUUUGAAACUGUUCUUCUAGAGGAUGGGAGCGGUAGGUGGAAUUCUUGGUGUAGGGGUAAAAUCCGUAGAGAUCAAGAGGAAUACUCAUUGCGAAGGCGACCUGCUAGAACAUAACUGACGCUGAUGCGCGAAAGCGUGGGGAGCAAACAGGAUUAGAUACCCUUGUAGUC